RNAcentral lists this ribosomal RNA (332 nucleotides) under uncultured bacterium. RNAcentral describes it as "bacterial SSU rRNA". It matches the Rfam family "Bacterial small subunit ribosomal RNA", at positions 246 to 591 of the family's 1533-position model. The record is from RNAcentral.
UAGUAGGUGUGGUAAUGGCGCACCUAGGCGACGAUCAGUAACUGGUCUGAGAGGAUGACCAGUCACACUGGGACUGAGACACGGGCCAGACUCCUACGGGAGGCAGCAGUGGGGAAUUUUCCGCAAUGGGCGAAAGGCUGACGGAGCUAUACCGCGUGAGGGACGAAGGCUUAUGGGUCGUAAACCUCUUUUCCCUGAGAAGAAGAUCUGACGGUAUCAGGGGAAUCAGCAUCGGCUAACUUCGUGCCAUCAGCCGCGGGUAAAUACGAGGGAUGCAAGCGUUAUCCGGAAUUAUUGGGCGUGAAGCGUCCGCAGGUGGCUCUGUAAGUCUG